UGGGGAAUAUUGCACAAUGGGCGCAAGCCUGAUGCAGCCAUGCCGCGUGUAUGAAGAAGGCCUUCGGGUUGUAAAGUACUUUCAGCGGGGAGGAAGGCGAUGCGGUUAAUAACCGCGUCGAUUGACGUUACCCGCAGAAGAAGCACCGGCUAACUCCGUGCCAGAAGCCGCGGUAAUACGGAGGGUGCAAGCGUUAAUCGGAAUUACUGGGCGUAAAGCGCACGCAGGCGGUCUGUCAAGUCGGAUGUGAAAUCCCCGGGCUCAACCUGGGAACUGCAUCCGAAACUGGCAGGCUUGAGUCUCGUAGAGGGGGGUAGAAUUCCAGGUGUAGCGGUGAAAUGCGUAGAGAUCUGGAGGAAUACCGGUGGCGAAGGCGGCCCCCUGGACGAAGACUGACGCUCAGGUGCGAAAGCGUGGGGAGCAAACA
Molecule: ribosomal RNA, 427 nt
Filed under: uncultured bacterium
Lineage: Bacteria
Description: partial 16S ribosomal RNA
Rfam family: Bacterial small subunit ribosomal RNA
Source: RNAcentral